GGAAGAUGGCUCAGUUGGUAAAGAGCUUGCUCCAUAAGCAUGACGGCCUAAGUUCAAUUCCUAGCACCCA
Molecule: transfer RNA, 70 nt
Filed under: Mus musculus (house mouse)
Lineage: Eukaryota; Metazoa; Chordata; Mammalia; Rodentia; Muridae
Description: tRNA-Met
Source: RNAcentral